AUACGGAGGGUGCAAGCGUUGUUCGGAAUCACUGGGCGUAAAGGGCGCGCAGGCGGUUUGGUAAGUCAGAUGUGAAAGCCCACGGCUCAACCGUGGCAGUGCAUUUGAAACUGUCAGACUGGAGUACUAGAGGGGAAAGUGGAAUUCCCGGUGUAGAGGUGAAAUUCGUAGAUAUCGGGAGGAAUACCGGUGGCGAAGGCGACUUUCUGGCUAGAUACUGACGCUGAGGCGCGAAAGCGUGGGGAGCAAACAGGAUUAGAAACCCUAGUAGUCC
Molecule: ribosomal RNA, 274 nt
Filed under: uncultured bacterium
Lineage: Bacteria
Description: partial 16S ribosomal RNA
Rfam family: Bacterial small subunit ribosomal RNA
Source: RNAcentral